This 24095-nucleotide long non-coding RNA is filed under the name Homo sapiens (human). RNAcentral describes it as "HSALNT0199099". The record is from RNAcentral. Lineage: Eukaryota; Metazoa; Chordata; Mammalia; Primates; Hominidae.
GGCAAGGGGAAGGAAGUGGAGGAGAAGAGGAGGAGGAGAUUAGAAGACUGCAAGAAAAAUGAGGGGGAAGAAUUUUGGGAAAUAAAGAGAAGGAGCAUACCGACUUAAAUUCCAGAAAUUCCAUUCCUUUGGCAACUUGAUAUGCAAAGCAAAGAAGAUCUUCAAAUUACCAGCCCCAGGCCUGCUGCUGCAGAAAGAAUGAACCUUGGGCACAUCAUUUGGGUAUUUCUAGGCAGAAGAGAGAAGAUCAGAGGGCAUGCCCCAGAGAAUUCUGGGAAAGUAAAGUCUGAUAUCCUAGCUAGGCUGUGCCGUAUUUGACGGCAGCCCAACUGGGGCAGUGGCCAGGCUCUGUAACCACUCUCACCACGCCUGUGCACCAGCUUCCAAGCUGGGAGAGAAGCACAGACACCACCAAAUGUACUUGCAAUGUUGUUGUUGUUGUUGUUUUUAAGCAGGUGAGAAUUAUGCAAUAUAUCACGAUAAAGCAGAUGAAUGAGGCAUUCUUUAUUUUGACCCCUCUGAUUUAUAGAGUGCUCAGUGUCUAAUUCCACUUGGGUUUGAGAGUUCACACUGUGACUGAGAAAAGACAAAGAAUUAAAAAGAGAGAGAGAGAGAGAGAGAGCAAACAUCCUCUUUGUCAUCAAGCUACAGUCUUUUUGAUGAGGUGAUUUUCGUGGAAGUGGGUUACCUGACAGUGUGCACGCCCCCAGCAGGUUCACAAUAUUCUCGUGGCUUCCCAGCUGGGUCAUCAUCUUGAGUUCUGACAUGAGUGCCUCUCUUUCAGAGCUGUCUGCUUUUUCUGUCAAAGAAAGGAGCAUUAAAAAUGUAAAACUCAAGUAAAAUACGAAUUUUAUGUCAUUAAAUAAAAUUUUUCUCAGCUCAGAGUCAAUCUGCAUUAUUUAUUUAAAUUCAAAAUUAUGAGAGAAGCCAGGCAUGGUGGGUCAUGCCUGUAAUCCCAGCACUUUGGGAGGCCGAGGUGGGUGGAUCACUUGAGGUCAGAAGUUCAAGACUGGCCUGGCCAAUAUGGUGAAACCUCGUCUCUACUAAAAAUACAAAAAUUAGCCAGGCGUGGUGGCAGGCACCUGUAAUCCCAGCUACUUGGGAGGAUGAGGCAGGAGAAUCGCUUGAAUGUGGGAGGCAGAGGUUGCAAUUAGCUGAGACUGCACCAUUGCACUCCAGCCUGGGCAACAAGAGUGAAACUCCAUCUUAAAAUAAAUAAAUAAAUAAACAAACAAACAAUAUCCUGUGUUUUAAGACAGAAUUUCUCCUUUUUCUUUUUUUUUUUUCCUUUUCUUUCUUUCUUUUUUUUUGACACAGUAUCUCACUCUGUCACCCAGGCUGGAGUGUAGUGACAUGAUCUCAGCUUACUGUAGCCUCUGCCUCCUGGGCUCAAGUGAUCCUCCUACCUCAGCCCUCCAAGUUACUGGUACUACAAGCACAGGCCAUCAUGCCCAGCUAAUUUUUAUAUUUUUUGUAGAGAUGGGGUCUCACCAUGUUGCCCAGGCUGGUCUUGAACUCCUAGAUUCAAGCAAUCCUCCCAACUCCGCCUCCCAAAGUGCUGGGAAUACAGGCAUGAGCCACCAUGCCCAGCCUAAGGCAGAAUUCAGACUGUAGUAUAGGGCUGGGCGCAGUGGCUCACACCUGUAAUCCCAACACUUUGGGAGGCCAAGGCGGGUGGAUCACUUAAGGUCAGGAGUUGAAGACCAACCUGGCCAACAUGGUGAAACCCUGUCUCUACUAAACAUACAAAAAAUUAGCCGGGCGUGCCGGUGCGUACCUGUAAUUCCAGCUACUCAGGAGGAUGAGGCAAAAGAAUCCCUUGAACUGGGGAGGCAGAGGUUGCAGUGAGCCGAGAUUGAGCCCCUGCACCACUCCAGCCUGGGUGACAGAGCGAGACUCUGUCUCAAAAACAAAACAAAACAAAACAAAACAAAGACUAUAGUAUAAAUGUUGAAUCUGGUAAUGCACCUUUCAACAGGACUUUCCUCUACCUACCAAAAUAAAAAUCCUUACAGUUGGCCCUCAAAACAAACAAACAAAAUAAUAACACAUGCUUUUCCUCCUCAGUACAAGUUAACAGAAGGGAGAAACGUCCUUUUUGUUUGUUUGUUUGAACUCUUGGAUCUGUUGUAGUCAGAGAGAGAUAACAGUGUCGUGAGCAUGGUUGACUCUAGCCUGUGGCCCUCAGGUCUAGAACAUUAGAUUUGCCAGCAAGUCCAAUGGGAGAAGGUCAAAGAGGACUAAUUCCCACUAUCAGGUGCUCAAGAGACCCAUUAAUUGACAUUGAGAAAUAAAACUGCCAAGCAGGCUAGAACAUAUUGGUUGGCCAAUGCAUUCUCUCUCUAGGGAAAAUUCCAGAUAGCUCAGCAAACUGUACUUAUAAGCUGACUUAGAAGCACAGUGUGAGGAAAGUCACUAUGGAAUCCAAGGGCUCCCGUCAUUGCGGCUCAUGUGCAGUUGGUCAGGGCAGCCCGGGCAGCCACAGGGGCAAGGGCAGGGUCUCUGGACUUCCCUCUCCAGGCUCCAGGCACCACCCCUCUGUGAACAGACUUUUUCUUCCAGAUAUAGUAACUCUUCUUUACAUUCAGUGAAGAUUUGGUUCGAUUGCCAGGUUCCAUUAUUUUGUCCAGGAAGGCAUCCUAACCUUUAUAGUGGCUUCUCCGGUGCUGACAUCCUCUAUUUUGGUUUGGGCAAGCUCUCAGGGGUAUCCUUGUUUCCAAGAUUUUAGCUUGGGGGUGGGAUUUCCUGUGGGCACUGGGACCCCCUAAUACAUCAUGUCUUCAGCUUCACGCUGGACAGGGAUUCGGGGCUUUACUUGUUCAUGUCCUAUUCCUCAUGGCUAAAAUAAUAUCUUACAUUUUUUAGCAUGCUUAGCUUCUUCUAAGCAUUUUCAUGUACCAUUACCUCUUUCAUUCAGUCAUUCAACAAGUAUUUAUUGAGUGCCUACUCUGUAAGAGCCAAUGUCCUAGACACUGGGGAAUGAAGGAAAAACAAGACACAACCCUUGUCUUCCUGGAUCUUAGAGUCUCCUGGAGAAGGCAGAGAAGUAAAUAAGCCAUGACAAUACAGUGCCAUAAAUGCAAUACGGCAGGCAAGACGUGGGUCCCCGCGCCUCUAAUCCCAACAUCUUGGGAGGCUGAGACAAGCGGGAGAAUUGCUGGUACCCAGAAGUUCAAGAAAGGCCCGGGCAAAAUAGCAAGAGCUUGUCUCUACUUAAAAAUAAAAUAAAGUAAAAAUACAUAAAUAAAUAAAAUAAAAUAAAAUAAAAAUUAGCUGGGCUUGGUGGUGCCUGCAUGUAGUUCCAGUUACUGGAAAGGCUGCAGACCAUCACUUGAGCCCAGGACUUGAAGCUUGCCGUGAGCUAUGAUGACUUCACUGCACUCCAGCCUGGGUGACAGAGUGAGACCCUAUCUCAAAAAAAGAAAAAAGAAAGAAAAAGAAAAAAUGCAACGUUGGGCUGGGCACGGUGGCUCAUGCCUGUAAUCCCAGCACUUUGGGAGGCUGAGACAGGCGGAUCACGAGGUCAGGAGAUCAAGACCAUCCUGGCUAACACGGUGAAACUCUGUCUCUACUAAAAAUACAAAAAAAUUUAGCCGGGCGUGGUGGUGGGUGCCUGUAGUCCCAGCUGCUAGGGAGGCUGAGGCAGGAGAAUGGCGUGAACCCAGGAGGCGGAGCUUACAGUGAGCUGAGAUGGUGCCACUGCACUCCAGCCUGGGCGACAGAGUGAGACUCCGUCUCAAAAAAAGAAGAAAAAAUGCAACGUGGCAAAGGAGUGCAGGGGUACUGUAGGGUCAAAAGGGAUAGCUACCUUAGCCUUGGAGGGGUGGAGAAAGGAGCAUUCAAUGUCUAAACUGAGUCCUGAAGAAAAAUGGGAGCUGGCCAGGUGACUCAUGGUGGAAGGGGAGGAGAACAGUGCUGAGGGUUGUGAAAGAGUGGGCAAAGGUCGAGAAAGGAGAGAGCACAGCACCACAGACACAGACCCUGCCCUCAUGAGGCACAGGGGCUACUGGACAGAUGGGACAACAAUUGGAUGUUAAAAAAUGUCAUGACAAAGGUGAUGGAUUCUACGGGGGAAAGCCUGCAGAGAGCUAAUGUCGCACAUUGCAAGGGCCUCAAUAUUGUCUGUGGUGUGAGACAGAGGAAGUGGUGUUUAAGCUGAGAUCUGAGGGGGCAGUGGGAGAUACUUACAUGAAAGGGGAAGGGGAAGCAGAAGGAUCCACUUGUGCAAAGGCCCCACAGUGGGUGGGAGGACAGUGCUGGGGGAACUGAAAGAAGGCCAGCGCUCUGGGGUGCCGAGAGCAAGAGGUGGGGAGGCAGCGGUGGCCCAGCCAUGCGGGUGGUGGAGGAAAUGUGAAGUAGGAAAGCCAUUUGAUCUGCUUAGCCUUUCGCCACUGUCACUUGGACCUCAGUAUGGAGAAGCCAAAGGGAGGCAAGAGUGGAUACAGGAACCUGCUUUGGAAGCUUUUGUCCAGGAGAGAGCCUUGAACUAGAGUGGUGGUCAUAGAGAUGGAGGGACGAGGAUGGAAUCAAGAGACACUAAUCGGAAACCUGAUAGGAUUAGCUCACAGGGUGUUAGAAAGAGGAAGGUGUCAAGGAAAAGUCACGGGUUUCUAGUGUGCCCAACUAUAUAGAAUGUGGUUAUUUAUUCACUGGCAUUCAUUACCAGUCACAGAGAGGACUGCUGGUGCAGGGCCAGGGUUAGGGGAAUUCACCUUGCAUACACUGUGUUAAAGGGACCUUUGAGACAUCCAAACAUUUAACAUAUGAACCUGAAGCUCCGAAAGGAGACGCAAGCAUGAGGGCCCUUGGUGUAUGGGAGGACAUCACGGGUGUAGUGGGGAUGGACUGUGUUGAGUGUGUGGAGCGAAAACGCAAGGCGGUCCAGGAGCAAGCCCACAGGGAUGCCCCAUAAAAAGCUGGAUGGAGCCUGGGCAACAUGGCGAAGCCCCAUCUCUACCAAAAAUACAAAAAUUAGCCAGGCAUGGUGGCGCAUGCCUGUAGUCCCCCCUACUCAGGGGCCUGAAGUGGGAGGAUGGCUUGAGCCUGGGAAGUGGAGGUUGCAGUGAGCUGAGAUCACACCACUGCACUCCAGCCUGGGCAACAGAGCAAGGCUGUGUUUCAAAAUCAGCCACAACAACAAAAGCUGGAUGGAAGAAGAUGAGCCCACAAAGGACUGAGUUUCAAAAUCAGCCACAACAACAAAAGCUGGAUGGAAGAAGAUGAGCCCACAAAGGACUGAGAAGGGCAGAGGGGUGGGAGGAAAACCAGAAUAUGGUGACACAAAACCCAAAGAAAGAAAGCUUCUGGAUGGAGAGAAGAAUCAACAGCAUCAAUUCAUGCUGAACAAUCAAGUAAUGAGGACUGAAAAAUAUCCAUUAGGCUUGGUUUGGUUUGAAGUCACUGUUGACCUUAGCAAGAGAGCCAGCUGGAGAUGCUUUUGCUGGGUCAGCGGUGGUAACGGUGAGGCCAGCAAUGGGGCUGGACGCCAGAUCGGAAUGGAUGGAGCAACGAAGUGAGGAUACAAAGGGCCCCAGUUUUCUCUCCUACCCAGAGUCUGUUUCAACCCACACCUGUAAUCCCAGCACUUUAGGAGGCCAAGGCAGCCUCACUUGAGCCAGGAGUUUGCAACCAUCCUGGGCAAUAUGGUGAGACACCGUAUCUACAAAAAAAAAAAAAAAUUAGCCAAUUGUCUUGGCACACUCCUGUGAGGCUGAGGUGAGAGCAUUGCUAGAGCCAAGGAGGUCGAGGCUGCAGUGAGCUAUGAUCACAGCACUCUAGCCUGGGUAACAGAGCAAGAUCCUGUCUCUAAAAAUAAAACAACACAAAUGUAAGAAAGAACUUCUGCCUGUGGCAACUGUAUCCCCAAAUAUCAAAGCCUAUAAAAACUAAAUAGGCCUGGCACAGUGGCUCACGCCUGUAAUCCCAACACUUUGGGAGGCCGAGGCGGGCAGAUAGUUUGAGCUCAGGAGUCCCAGAUCAGCCUAGGCAACAUGGUGAAACCCCGUCUCUACCAAAAAUAAAAAACUUAGCUGAGCGUGGUGGUGCACGCCUGUAGCCCCAGCUGCUGAGGAGCCUGAGCCCAGGGGGUGGAGGCUGCAGUGAGCCAUGAUCACACUACUGUACUCCAGCCUAGGUGACAGAGUGAGACCCUGUCUCAAAAAAAUAAAAGAAAAUAAAAAUAAACAAAGAGAGAAGUGGAAGAAGAGGUGGAGUUUUGUAUUUAUGACUUGAAUUUUGUAUUCAUGACUGGGUUGACACCCCAAUCCACUCCAUUUUUAGCCUUGAAACAUGGCAAACAGUAACCAUUAAAAGGAUGGAAAAGAGAAGAAGGCAUGGGUGGGAAACUGUGCCUCCCAUUUUUGUGCAUCUUUGUUGCUGUCCUUCCACUAUACUGUACCUUUCAGCAUUUUGACGGCAACCUGGAUUGAGACUCCUGUUUUGCUAAUUCCAUAAGCUGUUGCGUUCAUCACUUUUCCAAAAGCACCUGAUCCUAGUACCUUCCCUGCAAAGACAAAUGGUGAGUACGUGCAUUUUAAAGAUUUUCCAAUGGAAAAGAAAUGCUGCAGAAACAUUUGGCACAUUCCAUUCUUACCAAACUCUAAAUUUUCUCUUGGAAACUCCCAUUUGAGAUCAUAUUCAUAUUCUCUGAAAUCAACGUAGAAGUACUCAUUAUCUGAGGAGCCGGUCACCUGUACCAUCUGUAGCUGGCUUUCAUACCUAAAUUGCUUCAGAGAUGAAAUGAUGAGUCAGUUAGGAAUAGGCAGUUCUGCAGAUAGAGGAAAGAAUAAUGAAUUUUUACCUUUGCUUUUACCUUUUUGUACUUGUGACAAAUUAGCAGGGUUAAAACGACAAUGAAGAGGAGACAAACACCAAUUGUUGCAUAGAAUGAGAUGUUGUCUUGGAUGAAAGGGAAGGGGCCUGCAACAAAAGAGUGUCACUCAGCGAUGAAACAGAAUUCCUGUGUGACAUUAUAAAUAGUGGACAACUCAUUAUAAUCUCUCACAUCCUGUUUCAGUAAUAAUCAUUUUCAGUCCUAACAACCACUCUACAUAUACUCUACUCCCCACAGACAAUCAGGCAAUGUCCCUGUAAAGGAUACAUUUCCUCCCUAGAAAAUUGCGGAUUAUUCUCAAUCCAUUCUUUAAAACCAUUUACUAGGGUAAAUUUACAAGAAUUACAUCUGGUCCAGGCACGAUGGCUCACGCCUGUAGUCCCAGCACUUUGGGAGGCCAAGAUGGGAGGAUCACUUGAGUCCAAGAAUUAGACACCAGCCCAGGCAACACAGUGAAAUCCCGUCUCUAAAAAAAUUCAAAAAUUAGCUGGGCGUGGUGGCAGGUGCCUGUAAUCCCAGCUGCUCGGGAGGCUGAGGCAGGAGAAUCGCUUGAACCCUGGCAGAGGUGAGCCAAGAUCACGCCACUGCACUGCAGCCUGGGUGACAGAGCGAGUCUCCAUCUCAAAAAAAAAAAUGCAUGGAUUUAAACCUACAGGAUGUACAAGUCAGAGAAAAAAGAAGUUCAUAUCCCUUUUAUGAAGGUCGCACAUGAAAGUGGAGAAGUCAGUUUUGUGAGGUUGGUGAUCCUAACUACUAGGGUGGGCAGCCAGGUUUCACAACUGUUUAACUUAGGAGGGCUCUAAAAAGCAAACCAAAAAUUAUAAAACAGCAAGCUGAGGGCAAAUAAGGAGGCUAAUCAAAAGGGAAAAUGACAGAGACUCCAAGUGACAAAAUCUGUUUCUCUAGAGUUAGAUCUUUCCAUGGAGAUUCACCACACUGGGAGUUUCUGCUUCUCCCGGUCACUGUGACACAUGAGUCACAAGGGCACAGGGAGGACUCCGCCCCAACCUGUGAAACAGUCUCUCUGGGGAUUCUUGCCUGACUCAAGAAACCUUUUCUCACACACUGACCCUAUACUCUCCUGUAAAAUUCCCCAAGUAAAAGUCAGCGAUGGGGACUAACUUCUAGUGGGGAAUUCCUGAUGGUGGAAUAUCACAAGAACAACUGUUGUACCUGGAGAGUUUAAAAGGAUCGUCUCACAAGAUGUGCCAAGGGAAUUGUAUGCACAGCACUUGACCAGGAACCCUUUUAUGGCUUCACUCAUGUUUAGAGUACUGCUCGACACCCACUGUCCAAACACUUUUCUGUUAGCCUUUCUAUUCCAGACUCCUUCUGUGAUCUCUUCUGUGCAGCUGAAAAAAAAAAUAGCAAAGAAUUUAGACAGGUGAGCUGUCAUCAGAUUGGAAGUUAGGAUUUCUGCAGCGAGUUCUAAAAGAGAUUCAUCCAGUAUAAGUUAUCAGAAACAGUCUAUGACUAUUGAGAGUUAUGGUUGAUUGAGAAGGUUAGCAUUUUAAAUAUUUCAUCAUUUCCUCUUAAACUGUAUUCAUGAAAGAGUCAAUAGGUCAGAGAGUUUUAUGUUCUUCCAUUAUAAGAGGCAUCAAUGUCCUUAUUACUUGGGAGACUUGUCUGAACACUUCUUCCAGGUCCAAGAUGGUAAUGGGUAUCCAUCCGAGAAACAGGACGCCUGACUUGCCGAUGCUUCUGCGAGCACUUGAGGUUUCCCUAUAGAAAAGAACGUGUGAAAUAAGCUCACUGGCUGGGCAUAGUGGUUCACUCCUAUAAUACCAAUACUUUGUGAAGCCAAGGUGGGAGGAUCACUUGGGCCAAGGAGUUCAAGACCAGCCUGGGCAACACAGCAAGACCCUGUCUCUGAAAAUAAUAAAAUAAAAUAAGCUCUUGGAGUAUGGUACUUUCUGGAAAUAGUUUCAAAGUUGCCUACAGUACAGGCUACCCAUUUACUCCAGGGCAGUUUGUGCUUCUGGGAGGAUUUCUCAUUUAGGAUGCCUCCAGACCUCUGGUAAUUUCUUCUUUCCUCCUUGCCAUGCAACCUCCUUGCCAUGCAACCUCUCUGCUACACACCAUUUUUCCAUUGCCAGCCUCUCCCUGGAGAGAGCUGAGGUACAGACCUCCACCUGUUUGCAUGCCUUAAAAUGAUUCUUAGCUUCAGGAGAAGUUGGACUUCUCAUUGUUUUAUAAGCCAAAGAAAUGAAAAUUAUUAAAAACAAAUAAAUGAGAGAUAAAAUGACUUUCAGCCUUUCCUUAACAUGACCUUUCAAAAUACUAAAAUCAAUAAAGUCAUAACACUAAUUCAUAUUCAGAGACAAUGUGAAAUAAGUCUUUCAGCUUCUGAUGAUACACACAGAAAGAGAUAUAUGGCCAGGUGCAGUGGCUCUCGCCUGUAAUCCUAGCACUUUGGGAGGCCAAGGUAUGAGGAUCCCUUAAGGCCAGGAGUUUGAGACCAACCUGGGCAACAAAGGGAGGCCCCCUCUCUACAAAAAUGGUUUUAAAAUUAGCUGAGCAUGGUGGCGCGUGCCUGUAGUCCCAGCUACUCGGGAGGCUUAGGAGGAUCACUUGAGCCCAGGAGUUUGAAGCUACAGGGAUCUAUGAUUGUGCCAUGGCACCCCAGCCUGCGUGGUAGAGUGAGACCUGGUCUUAAAAAUGAAACAGAACAAAAUAACAUAAAAAAUAAAAAGAUAUAUGAUCAAUGCCAGUAGAUAUGAGAGUAAAGUUUCAAAACACUUCAGCGUACAAAAACAGUUUUGUAGUAGCCCUUCUAAGCCAUUACUUAACUUUUCCUAGUUAAGACUAAUAAAAAAUUAAGGAAUUAAAAAAUAAAAAUCAAAUUCUCGGCAAUUUAACUUACUUCUUAUAUUCAGCGUGAACAUUUUGGUAAAUUGGGCAUCAUCAUUUUCUGCAUGGAAUAUAUAUUCUCCUGGCUGGUGCUUAUGAUUGCAAAACUUGGAUAUGCUGUUUGAAAAAGAAUUAAAGACAGAUUUAGCCCAAUUGCUACAGGAGAUGCUGCAACUAAUGACAGUGUGCAUGGGAGGUGUCUUCCUUGAAAUGCUCCUCACUUGCUAAAGUUCACUGGAAAAGGAAAUGUCCAUAUUGUAGACCCUUGCUACUCAAAGUGUGGUCCACAGACAGGCAGCAUCAACAUCGCCAUUGGUAUCAUCUGGGAGCUUGUUACAAUUGCAAGAUUUCAGGUCCCUUCCAAAUCACUGACUCAGAAUCUGCAUUUUAAGAUGAUCACCAUGUGAGUCAUAUGCCCAUUGGGAGUUGGGAUUGGCCGAAGAUUCUCAGUGAGACCAGGAAGUUCCUGCCCCUCUUGCUCUGGAUAGUCUAACUUCUCAGAACUUGUGCAGGUGGAGAAGCCUGUAGUUCAGAGGUCCCCAGCCCCCCAGCCUCUAGACUGGUAACUGUCCAUGGCCUAUUAGGAAAGGGGCCACACAGCAGGAAGUGAGCAGCAGGCAAGAGAGCUUUACCGCUUCCUGUCAGAUCAGCAGAGGGAUUAGAUUCCCACAGGAGCGGAAACCCCACUGUGAAUUGCACACGCCAGGGAUCUAGGUUGUGCGUUCCUUAAGAGAAUCUAAUCCCCGAUGAUCUGAGAUAGAACAGUUUCAUCCCGAAACCAUCCCCCUACCCCCAAUCUAUGGAAAAAUUGUCUUCCACAAAAUGGAUCCUUGGUGCCAAAAACGUUGGGGACUGCUGCUGUAGCUGCCCUGCUUCCUGAAAUGACAGUCCAAGGCAGGACCUAUGACCAACCCUUGACUUACAUAGCAAUGAACAACGAUGAGGGCUCAAAUCCACUGAGCUUGUGCAGAAACCUCUGAGUGCUCUCAGCAGGCUCUAGUGCCUACUUGGAGCACUCAUCAACCACUCAAUAUUUUGACACAGAUAACCUGAUCUUGGGGACUGUCCACCACGCCCAGCAGGCCUGUGGGUUGCUGGAUACUGCAGUGAGAUGUUGGAUGGUGCAGGAGAGGCAGGGCAGCAAUGAGUUGUUGAAUAUGCCUUCGUGCACUCACAGUAACAAAAUUGGAGAAAAAGAAAAAAAUUCCCUUAAAACAGAAAAAGAAAUCUAAGGCUUGUACCGAAGAUAUCUAACUCGACCUCCACAUAGCCUACUGAAAGUUUUUUUUUUUUUUUCUUGAGACAGAGUCUCGCUCUGUCUCCCAGGCUGGAGUGCAGUGGCGCUAUCUCGGCUCACUGCAAGCUCUGCCUCCCGGGUUCCCACCACUCUCCUGCCUCAGCCUCCGGAGUAGCUGGGACUACAGGCUCCUGCCACCACGCCCGGCUAAUUUUUUAUAUUUUUUAGUAGAGACAGGGGUUCACCGUGUUAGCCAGGAUGGUCUCGAUCUCCUGACCUUGUGAUCUGCCUGCCUCAGACUCCCAAAGCGCUGGGAUUACAUGCAUGAGCCACUGCGCCCAGCCUAGCCUACUUAAAGUUUAAAAAACAAAAAGACCCUGCCUGGCAGGUUAGGAAGGUGAGUCAGAGUGGACGCAGCUUUAGAUGAGGAGUGUGGAGGAUGCAAAAGACCUAAAAAGUAGGUAGCUCCUAUCUUCAAAGAUACCUAAACCGGGUGGAUAGACAGGACCCAUACAAGUGGAAUCAUUAAAGCAUUAAACUGAAGUCCAGCAGAUGAUCAAAGAAGGCAGAGGUCUGUGUCGGUGGGAAAGGUUCGGGGCCUUCAUAGAGGAGGUAGAGCUCGAGCUGGAGCCUCACGGAUGAGUUGGUUUUGAUGAGAGGACAAAAGAAAAGGCAUCCAAGGAGGAGACAAAGCAGCGACUGAAGGCGCCAGACGGGAAGUCAUAGGGCUGCAGUGAGGAGGAACGGCAAGCCUCUCAUGGGAGCAGAAUAUCAUGAACAGUAUUGUAUUUACUUACUUUAUUUAUUUAUUGAUAUGGAGUCUCACUCUGUCACCCAGGUUGGAGUGCAGUGGCACUAUCUCGGCUUAUUGCAACCUCUGCCUCCCAGGUUCAAGCGAUUCUCCUGCCUCAGCCUCCUGAGUAGCUGAGAUUACAGGUGCCCGCCACCACGCCCGGCUAAUUUUUUGUAUUUUUAGUAGAGAUGGGGUUUCACCAUGUUGGCCAGGAUGAUCUUGAUCUCUUGACCUAGUGAUCCACCCACCUCAGCCUCCCAAAGUGCCGGGAUGAAUUACGCAUUUUAAAAAUACAAAUUACUUAUUUUCUACAACAAUGCUUACUGCCCUGAGCAUUGCAAUAAAACUUUUUUUUUUUUUUUUUUGAGAUGGAGUCUCACUCUGUCGCCCAGGCUGGAGUUCAGUGGCGUGAUCUUGGCUCACUGCAACCUCUGCCUCCUGGGUUCAAGCAAUUCUCCUGCCUCAGCCUCCCAAGUAGCUGGGAUUACAGGCACACGCCACCACAGCCAGCUAAUUUUUAUAUUUUUCAUAGAGACAGGGUUCACCAUGUUGGCCAGACUCGUCUUGAAUUCCUGACCUCAUGUGAUCCUCUCUCCUUGGCCUCCAAAAGUGCUGGGAUUACAGGCAUGAGCCACUGCACCUAGCCUUAAUUUUAUUUUAUGUAAUUUUUCUGUACAGAUGGGGUCUCACUAUGUUGCCCAGGCUGGUCUCAAACUCCUGCCCUCAAGCCAUCCUCCCCACCUCGGCCUCCCAAAGUGCUGGGAUAACAGGUAUGAGUCAGGGUGGCUUGGCCUAUGAAGAGUGUUUUAUAUGCACCUGCUGAUGGCAGCAAAAGUUUACUGGAAGUUUAAAGGCAGUUGUAGCAAUCCAAGAACUCGUUCAUUCAUUCCUUCAUUCAACUGUCAAUGUUAGAACCUGUUUGUGACGGAAAUUGAGGACACAACAGCAAAUUCAAAAAAUUGGGUUUCUGUUCUCACAGAAUUUACAAUUUGGUGGUGAAGGUAGAGGGGUAAUAAGCAGUUGGAGUGUGGGAAGUUUCUGUGAUAGGAGAAGUAAAAGUUCAGAUUUGAGGUUUCGGAGCAUGACAAGGGGAGCGUUGUUUAAUGGAGGAGAAUGGGAAAGGAGAGAAAAGAGCAAACCCUAGAGGCACCAGAAAAAAAGAAAUGGCAGGGGCUAGAUUGGAUACAGAAGAUAAAGGGGAGAAGAGAAUCCCAGUUGGUCCCCAAGACUCAAAACACACCUGUAAUCCCAACACUUUGGGAGGCUGAGAUGGGUGGACUGCUUGAGGCCAGAAGUUUGAGACCAGCCUUGGCAAUCUACUGAGAUCCCAUCUCUACAAAAAAAAUCCACAAAACGCCACUGCGUAAUUGCAGCUUUUGAGCCCACGUUUGUGUGACACCAAUGUUCUGUGCCCUGAACUCGUAAGCCAAGGUAAUUCUGACUGUGUAUUGUGAACAAGAGAAUUCAUCUCUCUGACCUAUCAAAAGUUUCAGGCAGUUAAAAGUUGACCUUUGGGUGCGUGCAGGGGUUCACAUCUGUAAUCCCAGCACUCUGAGAGGCCGAGGAGGGUGCAAUACUUGAGCCCAGGAGUUUGAGAUCGGCCUGGGCAACAUGGCAAGACCUUGUCUCUACAGAAUUUUUUUUUUUAAUUAGCUGGGUGCGAUGGCACACACCUGUGGUCCCAGCUACUUGGGAGGCCGAGGUAGGGGAAUUGCUGGAGCCACUAUACUCCAGCCUAGGCAGCAGAGCAAGACCCGGACUCAAAAAAAAAAAAAAAAAUGCUGAGCAUUGAAUAAGGUGUUUAACCUUCUUUUGCUUUGUUAACAAGAAGGCUGAAGAAGUCAAAAAGGGGAAUUUCUUAUCCUGACCUAUUUCUGGACAACAAGGAGGAAAUCACUGGUGAAGUGGAAACAAUAGAAAGAUUGGGGGAAAGCCAGAUUACAACCCUAGGGAGGAGAAGAGGAAACAGAGCUCCAUGCCAGUGCCCGACCUCAGGAAGGCAGUGUGGAAGAGGCUGGCGUGGAAGUGGCCCAAGAGAAGAAAGACGUGAGCUUCUAAGAGAGAAAGUGUAAUUCUCUCUGGACAAUGGCCAAAGACCCUGAAAAAGGAGAAGAGAGGAGGUAAUGAAGCCAGUGUGGCUCACCAGAGAGCAUGUCAGAGACACCAGUCAAUUCAGUGGAAAAAGAAAUGACCAGUACAAUUACUUAUCAUGAGGCAGACCAAAGCAAAAUGUUUCGUAAACAUUUUUCUUCCUCAGUCUUUUGUGCUGUCUUAAUAGAGUGUGGUUUGCCAUGGUUUAGAAGAGAUAGCACUUGAAACAUUUUUCACUCUUCUGAACAAACUCCAAGUAUGAAAUUGGUCACAUAAAUAGCAGGAACACAAAACUGAAUAUCCAAUGGCUUUAAACUGCCUUUCCUCAUGCUUAUGACAGUUAACCCUGGAAACAAUGACAACUGCAAUGACAACCGUGUCCUGACCCCAUGGGAAUUCCAAGGGGACUAACUAAUUAGGCUGAUUGGGAGAUGCAAAGCUUCCUCUUUCGCCUAGGGGUUUUCUACAAAUGGCCAGCCGGCAGGAGACGGAGGUCAGGACAUUUGAGUUUACAGUAAAACAAUACCUCGGUGUCUAAGAAGAUGCGUUCUCAUUAAAACUAAGAAAAGGGGUUUCUUGGCUGGGAACGAUGGCUCACGCCUGCAAUCCCAACACUUUGGGAGGCCAAAGGAGGAGGAUCACUUGAGGUAAGGAGUUCGAGAUCAGCCUGGCCAACAUGGUGAAACUCCAUCUCUACUAAAGAUACAAAAAAUUAGCUGGGCACGGUGGCACACGCCUGUAAUCCCAGCUAUUCGGGAGGCUGAGGCAGGAGAAUCGCUUGAGGUGGAGGAUGCAGUGAGCCGAGAUCGCACCAUUGCACUCCAGCAUGGGUGAGAGGGCAAGCCUCCAUCCGAAAUAAUAAUAAUAAUAAUAAUAAUAAUAAUAAUAAUAAUAAUAAAUAAAAAUGUCAAAGAAAGAGAAAGAAAAAAAAGUAAAGUUGAUGCCCAUCAACAGGAGUUAGUUAAAAUAAAAAUUUCUGAAAAGUGGAAUACUAUGCAGCCAUUACAGCAAUAAGGUAGAUAUAACAACAUACUUAUUAAUAUAGAAAGAUACUCAUGAUAUAUUUUAAGUGAAAAAUCAGAUUACAAAUGGUACCUUAUUUCAUGUUUAUACAAAGAUCCAUAUUGUAUGUUUCUAUCAUGGUGCUUACAUAGAAAAAGUCUGCAAUGUUAUCUCUGGAGGUGGAAUUAUGUGUUUUUUUAAGGCAAUUUCAGAAAAAGAAGGAAUAAAGGGUGUUGGCUUUGCCUUCUGUGAUUGGGCAAGUAAUUUAGCCUCAAUUUCCACAUUUCAUAAAAUGGGAUUAUGAGAGUUAAAUGAGGUAAUACACCUAUAGGAUUUUGCACAUGGUAAGAGCUCAAAGAAGGAUCUUUUAUUCUCACAGAAUGGCUUCUUAAGAUGUGGUUAAUAACUUACAACUGAGUGGGGUCUUGGGAAGACCUGCAGCCAGGAAUGUUGUCUCAAACUGCAGAAGUGAAUGGGAACGGCAUUUAGGUAGGAGCUGCUGGUAUUUCUCUAGACUCAAACUUUUCCCUCAUUUUCCCUCCUUUCUGUCUGUGCUCAAGGCUCAACUCCUUCAGAAAAUAGGAAAAAAAAAAAAAACAACUCCUCUCCCAGGCUCCAUAAUCUUCUGCAAUUGUGUGUCACUCAUUGUAUGUGACAGCCUGCUUUUCAGUUUGUGGUUCUUCUGAGCAGGACCCUGGCUCACCACCCAGAACCCAAACGACCACCACACAGCUGUUUACCCCGUAAGCACUCGGUUAGUGCCUACUGUGGGCAAAACUUAGAUUCACAGAGUUGGAAAAUUAAAUAUUUCAGGAAAAAGGAAAACAUCAGGCUUAGGCAAGGCUAAGGAGAAGGUUUCAGAAGAGGUUACUAAGUAAUUACAACAGUCCUAUUCCUUUUUUUUUUUCCCAUAAAAGUGGAAAAAGCUAAGGUAGAUUUGGAAUUUGUAAUUAAGUCUGUAGAGAUAGGAAAUUAUACAAACUAAUGGGUGAAAUAUCCUGGAAACCUUUAUCAGGACCAGGACACCAGGACGGCUAGAAAGUUAUAAUUUAAUAAAACAUAAAGGCAAGCCCUAGUAAACUUUGGCGUAAUAUUUGAGGAAGUAAAUUGGAGAAAUGAAGCCAUGAAAGUGGGGAAGCCGAGAGAUUUCUGGUGCACAUACCAUGACCACACCAAAGUUUUUUCAGGGGUAGUGUUAUUACAGGGGCCUUUCAGUAACAGAUUUUUAAAAAAUUGUAUCACUUUGCCUAUAAAAUCUUGAUACAUGACUAAAAUACUGUACUUCACAAACCAAAUUCGGUUCAAUUAAAUUGUUGAAUCUAGGUGGUAGGUAAAGAAUGCUCAUGCACUAUUAUUUCAACUUAUUAGUAAAUUUGAAACUUUCUAUAAUAAAAAGUCAAAAGGAAAGACGGGUGCAGUGGCACACGCCAAGUUGCAGCUACUCAGGAGGCUGAGGCGGGAGGAUCACUUGAGCCCAGGAGUUAGAAUCCAACCUGGGCAAUAUAGCAAGACCCUGACUCUAAAAAGCAAAAAGAAGCCAGGAAAGGUGGUUCACGGCUGUAAUCCCAGCACUUUGGGAGGGCAAGGCGGGCAGAUCACGAGGUCAGGAGUUUGAGACCAGCCUGGCCAACAUGGUGAAACCCCGUCUCUACUAAAAAUACAAAAAUUAGCCGAGUGUGGUGGUGCAUGCCUGUAAUCCCAGCUACUCGAGAGGCUGAGGCAGGAGAAUCACUUACUCACCUCCACCGAGAGGAGAAUCACUUAAUCACCUCCGCCAGGAGGAGGAGGUUGCAGUAAGCCAAGAUUGCGCCACUGCACUCUAGCCUGGGUGACAGAGCGAGACUCCGUCUCAAAAAAAAAAGCAAAAAGAAGGGCCAGGCGCGGUGGUUCAUACCUGUAAUCCCAGCACUUUGGCAGGCCGAGGUGGGCGUAUCAUUUGAGGUCAGGAGUUCGAGACCAGCCUGGCCAACAUGGCAAAACCCCGUCUCUACUAAAAAUACAAAAAAAUAGCUGGGCAGGGUGGCACAUGCCUGUAAUCUCAGCUACUAGGGAGGCUGAGGCAGGAGAAUCACUUGAACCCAGGAGACGGAGGUUGCAGUGAGCCAAGAUCAUGCCACUGCACUCCAGCCUGGGCGACAGAGUGAGACUCUGUCUCAAAAAAAAAAAAAAAGGCAAAAACAAAGAAAAGUGGAAAUUACCCCUGACUAUAAUCUAGUCCUCCAUCCCCAUCUCAACAUAGAGCCUCAUGUGGAGAGAAAAAGACAUUUAGAGCACUCAGAGGCGUGUUCAAAUUUUGUGUUGUUCGUUUCUUGUUCAGUACUUUGAGCAUGUUUUCUCAUGAAGAAGGAGGGCCCAUCUUUCCUUUGCUGUGUGUCGUCAGUGGCCCAUAACACCUGGUACAUUAUCAGUACCAACAAUGCACAUCAUUAGCACAAACACUGUAGCUCUUCAAGAACUUUCAAAUAACAAUAAACACUGAGUACUGGGUGUUGUGCUAAGAACCAUGUGCAUGGUCCUUGCAGUGAAGAGGAUGCUGUCGACUCAUCUUUGGCCCAGACUGCACUGUGAGUUGCAUUCCAGAUAUGAUGAUGAAUUCAUUCAUUUAUUAAACACACUUACUGAACAAGGCAUUGUACAAAGAUAGAGAAAUAUGGCAGCAUACCUAUUCUUAGAGUUUAUAAACUCCCUGGUGAGAUGUGACAUACAUACUUAUCUGUUGCCAGAUAAGUAGGAAUGAGUGAGGUACAAAACGCUAUAGGAGUCAGGAGCUCACCUAAUUCAUUCAUUUGGCUACCUCUAUAGGAUAACAAUCUGGGGUCAUGGGUAUGGAUUGUAGCCAUGGAAUGAAACUACAUGAAGCAGCCCACUACAUUGGCCCAUGACCCAUAUGUCAGUGACAUGGUCCCCAACUGGCGAUUCUGUAAAAUCUCAAAAGGUUAUACCAGAUAUCACCAGCACAGUAGCAAUCUGUGUACAUUCUUGCGGGAGAGGGAAAGCAACAUUACCUUAUUCACUCUUGCAGCCCAUCACAGCAUCACACCCAUCAAGAGGAUAUUAAAGUAAUAUUUGUUGAACUAAAUUGAAUCGACCCCUUCUCUCUUUGAAUCAGGUUCAGAAGAGAUUCCCAUAAUGCUAAGAGCUUAUCUAACAUGGGGAUAGGAUACAAAGGAGAGAGGGGACAGUGAUAUGCUGAUUUCCUUCUGAACACAGGCCAAGUGGUAAUCAAGUCAACUAGGGUAAAGAGGGGCUGACUCUCCAACCUUCUACAUUUAAAAGCUUGAUGGGCCAGGCGCGGUGGCUCACGCCUGUAAUCCCAGCACUUUGGGAGGCUGAGGCGGUUGGAUCACUUGAGGUCAGGAGUUCGAGAACAGCCUGGCCAACAUGAAGAAACCCCGUCUCUAUUAAAAAUACAAAAAAUUAGCUGGGCAUGGUGGCAUGCACCUAUAAUCCCAGCUACUUAGGAGGCUGAGGCAGGAGAAUUGCUUGAACCCAGGAGCUUGCAGUGAGCCAAGAUCGUGCCACUGCACUUCAGUCUGGGCAACAGAAUAAGACUCUGUCUCAAAAAAAAAAAAAAAGCUUGAUAUUUCUGAAUAACAGCUUACGAUGACUGUGGGUUGAUGCCUCUAAGGCAAUGGUUCUCAAAAAAAAAAAAAAAAAAAAUGCCAGGGGUUAUUUUUCUCAAUUUGGCAGUGUCUGGAGAUAUUUUUGGUCACACUGGGAAAAGGGAAUGUGCUCCUGGCAUCCAGUGGGAGGAGACCCGGGAUGCUGAAAAGUAUCCUACAGUGCACAGGACAGUCCUUCACAACAAAGAAUUAUCCAGCUCAACAUGCCAGCAGCGCCACUGUUGACAAACCCUGAGUUUGGGGGAGUGUGUUUCAGUCAGCUCCCAGACCAGUCUGCAUUCUUAAUUACUUUAAAAAUGAAUGCUCUGAACAUUGGGGGGUUUCAGUAAGAGACAGUAGACAACUCCAUGCAAACCCUGCACUGAGAUUCUAAAAGUCCCAACAAGGGACUUUUAGUACAAAUCCCUUUUAGGUAUAAAGAGUAACAAUAAUCAUGAAACAAACACUUAGCGGAAUCAAGGUGAAAAGAACUCCUACUCUUCAUCUAGAACAGGGCUAGCCAAUGAAACAGAAUGUGAGUCACAACUUCAAGCCUUGUACAUCAUUUACAAAUUCUGUUGGCUGUAUAAAGUAAAAGGAAGCAGGUGAAAUUAAGUUUAAUAACAUAUUUCGCUGAAUGCGAUAUAUCCAAAAUACUAUCAUUUUAAUAUAUAAUCAAUGUAAAAAUUGUUUUAAUUUUAUUAUUAUUUUUUCUUUUUGAGGCAGGUUCUUGCUCUGCAUCCAGGCUGGAGUGCGGUGACGUGAUCAUGGCUACUGCAGCCUCGACCACCUGGGCUCAAUCAAUCCUCCAACCUCAGCCUCCCAAGUAGCUGGGACUAAAGGUGUACACCACCACACUCAACUCAUUUUUGUAUUUUCUGUAGAGAUGGGAUUUUGCCAUGUUAUCCAGGCUGGUCUCAAACUCCUAGGAUCAAGCGAUCCACCCGCCUUGGCUUCAUAAAGUGCUGGGAUGACAGGUGUGACCCACCGAGCCCGGCCAAUAUAAAAAUUAUUAAUAAUAUAUUUUACAUUCUUUUUUUCAUACUAAGUCUUCAAAAUCUAGUGUGUAUUUUACAAUUAGAGUACAUCUCAAUUUGGACCAGACACACUUCAAGCUCUCAAUAGCCACAUGUGGCUGGUGGCUACCGUACCGGACAGCACAGAUCUAGACCUGUGAUAGGAAUCACCAAAGGUUCUCAUUAAAAAAGCAGAGUCUGAGCGUUUUGCCCCAGUUUUGAGUCAGCAUGUCUGGAAUGGGAGCCAGGAAUCCACAUUUUAAACAUUUGCUCAGAUGAUUCUUACACAGUUGUUCAACAGACCACAUGCUGAGAAAGGAUGAUUUAUUCUAGUCCAUUGACUUGUUUGAAAGAUAACAUGUGCGUCUCAGUGUCUCAUAGCCUAGUCCAAAACCAUGUUCCAUAGCAUUAGUUUAAAGAGACAAGAGAUGUCAUAACUAUAGAAGAUAUAGGGGAAAGUUGUUUUUUGUUUUCCAAAGAAGGAAUGGAGAAUUCCUCCCACAAGAGAAUCUUUCGGCUGGGUGCAGUGGCUCACGCCUGUAAUCCCAGCACUUUGGGAGGCCCAGGUAGGGUGAAUCUCCUGAGCUCAAGAGUCCGAGACCAGCCUGCGCAACAUGGCAAAACCCUGUCUCUACCAAAAAUACAAAAAAUUAGUCAGGUGUGGUGGUGUGCACCUGUGGUACCAGCUACUUGGGAGGCUGAGGUGGGAGGAUCACUUGAGCCUGGGAGGUGGAGGUUGCAGUGAGCCAAUAUUGCACCACUGCACUAUAGCCUAGGUGACAGAGUGAGACCUCAUCUCAAAAAAAAAAAAAAAAAGAAAAAGAAAAAGAAAAGAAAAUUUGUUGUUCUUAAAAAAAAGAAUCUUGCAUAGUUUCUCAUACAAAUCCCGAGGAAAACAACAUUUUCCUUCAGCACUUACUAUUGGGCUAUUUCUGCAUGUAUUUUUUGAAAAUUUAAAUCAAUACACCUAUGAGUAAUGUUUUUCUGUUUUUAAGGAGUUUUACUUCCUCAAUCAUCUGCAAAUGUUUUAGGGGAGACUCAGUGUCCUACACACCGCACUCUCAAACAGGAAGUAAAAACUACCUUGUGACUCAGAAAAUGCCAGAGAACCAGACUCAAACUAGACCAGACUAAUACGGUUCUUUCUGUUUUCAUGCAGCAGGUUAUAUUAUCUAAAGUAAUGGUAAGACUGCUACUGUAUCCUCACAUCUGCUUAUUGUUUUCUUAUCUCCAAUUUCAACUCAAUAAUAGUUAAACUCAUAAGUGAAUUUGCUUCCAUAAGUAUAAAACUGUCCUUCUCAAGGGCGACAAGCAAGGAGAAUUAUGCUAAAAAUGGUAUCUUAGAGUCCUUUGUGGUCUCACCUGUAUCCGUUAUCAAGACCCUUUUGCUCACAAGGAAAUGAUUUUCGAGAGAAGGUCCACGUACAUCUGAUUUGUGGGUAGGCUUUAAACCUGACAGAAAAACAAAACUCUUCAUAUUGGUCAAUUUCAUAAUCUUCACUUGAAUUGGUAGCAUUUAUAAAUCCCUUUUCUGUAAGAAAAAAUAGGCAUUUAUGAGUUAGUUAAUAAUAUUCAUAGGGAAACGUAUUGAGAAGAUAAAAUAAACUUGUAUUCAUCAGUUUAACACAGGAAAACUCAAGUGUUGGCAUGCUGCAGGUCAGGUUGGAUAAUCCAAGUGAAAACCCAGGAGUCCUAUCCCUAGUUCUAAGCCUGAGCUCAUCAUCUUUCGAAGUUAAGAAAUGUUUAAAAAAAGAAAGAAGGAAAGAAAAAGAAUGGGAUGUAGAUAAUUGACUGUCUGGCCCCUGCUCUCAGCCAGCACCACUCUUCCAUUGAUGAGAGAGAGUAAAAUAAACUCAAGGCACAAAUAAAAGAGCGAUCUGGCUAGCAAUAUUCACGAGGUUGCCUUAUGGAACACUUCCUUAUUAAUCUGCUAAGAGCAUCGCUGUAUUUCUCGGCAUUUUCAUUAUGGCUGAACGCUGUGCCCUAAUCUGAGAUUAUUGAACUGUGGUUAUUUUCAGAUCCUACAUACCCCACCAAAAUUUCAGUGCAUCUAAGGGCUUGUACUGUCUCUCAGUGCUCACUGCCCUAACAGUGCGGUUAGUUGGUUCUUAGAACUAGUAUUUAUUGUCCAUUUUGUGUCAGGCUCUGUGUCAGGUUCUGGAACUACAAGGAUAGAAUGAGUUGUUCUUGUCCUUAAGAAACUUACAGUCUACUGGAGGAUAAAAGUACACAAACAGAUGGUCAUAUUACAAUGUGUUAUAUGCAAAGACAGUGGCAUUCAAGCGAGCCUGGUUUAACGGGAAAAGGAAGAGGGUGGGCAGAUUAUCUUUGCAAAGCUAUUCUAACUCAGUUUCUUUCUUAGUGUUUGAUAGUAGCAUUAUAUUGAAAUCAGAAUUUGUACCACAUACUUCACAUUCCACACUACAGCGACUAAAAAUAGGAAUAAAGAUUGUGUGAGCAGCCUGCAUUACCUACGAUGGUAACCAAAGCUGAUUGACUGGGAUGCUUUGAAGAGGAACAAGUGUAGUAUCCGGUGUCGUUUCUUGCCACUGAUGAUACAAAAGCAAACAGAAUCCGUAUCAUAGUUCUGUUUGUUGAAUAGGUACUCAUCUCAAAGUAGUUGCCCUAGGUUUUAAUAAAACAGAGUUUGCAUUUAAUGUUUUCAAUCCAGACUAUUAGUUAAUUGUUCCUGCAUUUUCAGAAUACAAACUUGUCCUAUUACCUCCUCGAGUGCUUUGUUUUCUAAUUCCCAGGUGAGCCCGAAUCCAUGGUUCACAUGAACAGCUUUGCACCUUAUCCAUAAGGGUUCCCCUACUUUAAGAAAUAAUUGUGGCAAUGUGGUCUGAGGAGUUUGAUUUAGAUCUAGGAGAUGAAAACAUCCCAAGUGAGAAAAAAAAAGUGAUUUUUGCCUCAUCACAAAAGAUAUCCUGAACAUUCUGAACAAAGACUUUAGCAUCAUCUCAAAUAUUACUAACCACAUUAAUAAAAGAAGCUUUUAGAGACUGACUCCUCUUUUAUGAAGAAAUCAGCAUUUACAGAAUCCAUAAUAUUGCAUUUACUGUGACCUGAAGGAAUGAUAGGAUUUCUGAAGUUGAAUGAUCACCUACGCAGUUACUGUUAGUCCCUGAUAGUUGCUAAGAACCGGUCACUGAAAAUGAAAGUGCAUGAUAUUAUAGUGUUACCUAUUGUGAACAGCCUGGUGCAUUCCCUGCCCAGUUCAUUUCUGGCACAGCACCUUAUGUCCGUCCCAAAUAAUUCAUGAAGCACUUUUUCCUCCUUUUUAACAACAGCUGGACUUUCUUCUUUACAGCUGCAAUUAGAAAAGAAGUACCAUUUGGCUAAACAAGUUUUAAAAUUACAAAUGAAUGCUCAAGAGGAGAACAAAGUUCUAGAGCCAGUUUUAAGGGUCAAAUGGUAAACAAAAGGUCAAAAGGUAAACAAGCCCAUAUCUAUGGUUUCAGCUAAGAGCUCAGAGGGGAGCUAGCUAGUUACUCAUUAUCGCAAUGAAUUAGCAUAACACUAAGGAGAAUUACAUAACAAAACAGUUUAAAAUUGUUCAUGUUUGGUGAUCUCUUUGUUGCUGUUGUUUAAAGACAGGGAAAGAAAGGGAAAAAAAUGAGAAAGAAGAUAAAGGAAAAAAAGAGAAGAAAGAGAGAAGAGAAAAAGCAUGAUUGGGCUUUCAUGAAGUUUAGCAAGGUAAGCAUCCUUUUGGGACGCAGUAAGGGAGGGGGAAGCUAAAGUUUCAAAAGUCACCCGAGUUCCCAUAGGAACAGAGGAGGGCCAAGGUGUCACCCACAAGGGAAGUCAGCCAAGACUCCCAAGUAUUCAACAGAGCAAAACCCCUCUCCCUGCCUCAGCAGAAAGCGAACUUUUGUACCACUUUGGAACAAAGUAUUUGGUACUUUUUCUCCUUCUAUUUGGUCCUAUUUUAAAAAAAAAAAAGUUGUUUAGUAAAUUUUAAUUAGUUCAAACUGCAUGAAUUUUUACUUUGUAAGAACUUAACUUUGGCAUAUAUGAAAAACUAUGUAAACAUUUAUACCUUACUUAGUAUUGGCUAGGCACUGUUCUAUGUGCUUUACAUAUAUCAAUUCAUUUAAUCAGAAUAGCAAUCCUAUAAGUAUCUGUUGUCAUCCGCAUUCUUCUGAUGAGGCACAGAGAGUAAGUAACUUGUCCAAGGCCACACAGCUGCUAAGCAAACCAGGGUUCAAACCCAGGCUAUCUGGCUCUGGAUUCUAUAUCUUUAAACAAUCAUAUUAGACUGCUUUCCCAGAACAAACAGGAUAAUCAGAAAUUAAACAUUUUGUCACAAGGAAUUUCUUUCUUCCUUUCUUUUCUUUUUUUUUAGAUGGAGUCUCACUCUGUCACCCAGGCUGGAGUGCAAUGGCGCGAUCUCGGGUCACUGCAAUCUCCGCCUCCCGGGUUCAAGCAAUUCUCCUUCCUCAGCCUCCUGAGUAGCUGGGAUUACAGAUGCCCACCACCACACCUGGCUAAUUUUUGUAUUUUUAGUAGAGACGGGGUUUGACCAUGUUGGUCAGGCUGGUCUCGAACCCCCAACCUCAGGUGAUCUGCCUGCCUCGGCCUCCCAAAUUGCUGGGAUUACAGGUGUGAGCCACUGUGCCCAGCCUAUAAUUUCCCUUUUUUUUUUUUUUUGAGAUGGAGUCUCGCUCUGUCA